Amblyraja radiata (thorny skate) is the source of this 488-nucleotide long non-coding RNA. RefSeq lists it as uncharacterized. NCBI's taxonomy places the organism in Eukaryota, Metazoa, Chordata, Chondrichthyes, Rajiformes, Rajidae. The transcript has 3 exons. The record is from RefSeq and is a predicted model, not a curated record.
UGGUGUAUUUAUAGAGACAUUUGGAUUUCAGCUACCUACUUGCCAGGUAGGUUUAACAUGGUGGCGGACACCAGGUCACACAAAUUCAAUGACAACACAGAAUGGGAUGUUGGAUCAUAAAGUAUUUAACAACAUUGUUGCUCGGUAUGGAACACGGGAUAUCGAUUUGUUUGCAUCUAGGCUCAAUCACCAGUUACCAAAGUAUGUUGCAUGGGAGCCAGACCCAGGGGCAGUGGCGAUAGAUGUAUUCUCGCUACACUGGGGAGGAAUGUUCUUUUAUGCAUUCCCUCCAUUUUGCCUCAUCAGUCGGUGCUUGCAAAAAAUCCAGCAAGAUUCCACUUCAGGCAUUUUGGUAGUGCCUGACUGGCCUACGCAGCCAUGGUUCCUGCUGAUAUUGGGAAUGAUAAUAGAACCUUAUAUGGUUAUUUCGAAACGCAAAAAUUUGCUGGUUCAUCCCGUGACUCAGGAAGGCCACCCUCUGCAUGAUA